UACGUAGGGGGCAAGCGUUGUCCGGAAUCAUUGGGCGUAAAGAGCGUGUAGGCGGCCCGGUAAGUCCGCUGUGAAAGUCCAGGGCUCAACCCUGGGAUGCCGGUGGAUACUGUUGGGCUCGAGUCCGGAAGAGGAGUGUGGAAUUCCUGGUGUAGCGGUGAAAUGCGCAGAUAUCAGGAGGAACACCAAUGGCGAAGGCAGCACUCUGGGACGUGACUGACGCUGAGACGCGAAAGCGUGGGGAGCAAACAGG
RNAcentral lists this ribosomal RNA (253 nucleotides) under uncultured bacterium. RNAcentral's name for it is "partial 16S ribosomal RNA". It matches the Rfam family "Bacterial small subunit ribosomal RNA", at positions 524 to 776 of the family's 1533-position model. The record is from RNAcentral.